Molecule: long non-coding RNA, 1085 nt
Filed under: Physcomitrium patens
Lineage: Eukaryota; Viridiplantae; Streptophyta; Bryopsida; Funariales; Funariaceae
Description: long non-coding RNA (PPAT_LNC011036)
Source: RNAcentral
CUCUGCUGGAGCUAACGACAUUUCCAAUUCCAUUUUCUCCUGCUCCAAACUUUUAAGUGCUUCAGUAAACCAAGAGACUGUCUUUGGGAGAUGAUGUGCGACUUCAGCAAAGGAGGAUGCUGUGGUAAGCUGGUGUCGGGUUGAAAAGGUACUACGCAUAUAAUCGAUACCAACUGUCCCACCAAUGAGGGGAGCGAUUGCUUGUAACCGAGAAGCACUAAUGUCUUGCUUGAGCACCUGCAUUUUCUCCACAUAUAAUGUCAAUUUUGUAAGCGAAAAUUCUUUCAAAACAUAAACAUAACGAGAGACAAAAGUUCAAGAGGUAAGGACAUGGAAACUACAUAAAGUGAGAACAGAAGUGGACACUACCUGCAGUUGCUCAAAAAUAAACCGAAGACCUUUCACAAGAGUUGUAAAAAAUGCAAUUUGUGCAGGCUUGCUGCCCGAAGGUACUGUUGCCGAUAACUCCUUGACCAAGGACCCAUGCGCAGCUUUUGCAGGGCUGUCGCGAGCUGGAGAACCUAGUUUCAGAAUUAACCCAGAUGCGUAGUCUAAUAAUCGGCGCAAAUAGUCUACAUCAUUACUUCCAGACUCCAAAAUCUGCACCGAAUACAAUCAGUAUUGAGAAUCAAACAAAAAAGCAAAUUGGAGAAAAUAGAGGCAUUUCAAGCAUCGACAACGUGGGAAAUGGGUGAGUAAGAUCUAACCUGAGUUAUCAGUUCCAAAUCCAUAGAUUCCCGAAGCUCAUCUUUCCAACUCUCAGGAACAAGAGCUACAAGUUCCUGCCGCACCUCUCCAACUAAAUCAACAACACGCUUGUAAUCUGUAGGCUCUUGAGCCAACCCACUAGCAAUAUUAUCCCAAAACGCAUUCUCCAUUAUAGACCGCACCUGAUCUUGAAGAUCAUUGAUCUUUUUUGCGGAUGGGUUAACAGAAGAGACUAAAUGAGGACUUUCCUGCAGGUGCCAUUUCGAAUCAUGGAGCAUCUCGUUGACAAUUUGCUCGUUUGUAAGCUCGGCUCCAACAUGAUUUGGCACGGAGCUCUGGGAGUUUUGAGCGUCUAGUUUUGCCAGGUUCUCAGAAGC